GCGCCAAUGGUCCAGCGGUAGGAUAAUUGCCUUCCAAGCAAUUGGCAGGGGUUCGACUCCCCUUUGGCGCA
Molecule: non-coding RNA, 71 nt
Organism: Bimuria novae-zelandiae CBS 107.79
Lineage: Eukaryota; Fungi; Ascomycota; Dothideomycetes; Pleosporales; Didymosphaeriaceae
Source: the annotation of a GenBank genome assembly